UCGCUCUUCAACGAGGAAUCCCUAGUAAGCACAAGUCACCAGCUUGUGCUGAUUACGUCCCUGCCCUUUGUACACACCGCCCGUCGCUACUACCGAUUGAAUGGCUUAGUGAGGCCCUCGGAUCGACUUUCUGAGACUGGCAGCAGUCUCUGAUUGUUGAGAAGUUGGUCAAACUUGGUCAUUUAGAGGAAGUAAAAGUCGUAACAAGGUUUCCGUAGGUGAACCUGCGGAAGGAUCAUUAAUGAUUUGGCGAACCUAACGUUAGUUAGGUUUUGCGAUCACUUAUUUAAAACCCAACUCUUAAAUGUAUAAUUUAUGUAUUUCUUGAUAAGAAAAAUAAAGAUCACUUUCAACAACGGAUCUCUUGGCUCUCGCAUCGAUGAAGAACGUAGCGAAGUGCGAUAAGUAAUGUGAAUUGCAGAAUUCCGUGAAUCAUCGAAUCUUUGAACGCAAAUUGCACUUUCUGGUAUUCCGGAAAGUAUGCCUGUUUGAGGGUCAGUUAAAUAAAAAUCGGUGUUAUUGCUAUUAUGGCGAUGCAUCGGAAUUGAGUCGUCUUUACCUUUGGUUUAAGUGACUUAAAAUUAUGUACGAUUUUUGAACGUAUUUAAAUUAUUUACUUAUGUUCAUAAUAUCACAUAUUAGGUGCGAUCAUCCACAUGAUUUUGCGCCUAUAAUUUUUCAUUAUUUGACCUCAAAUCAGGUAAGAAUACCCGCUGAACUUAAGCAUAUCAAUAAGCGGAGGAAAAGAAAAUAACAAUGAUUCCCUUAGUAACGGCGAGUGAAGGGGGAUAAGCUCAAAUUUUAAAUCUGCUAGGUUUUACCUAUCAGAGUUGUAAUUUGAAGAAGCGUUUUCCGCGUCUCGGUUGACCCAAAUCCUUUGGGAUAUGGUAUCAUGGAGGGUGAGAAUCCCGUCCGGUUGACUUUGUGACGCUUUACGAUACGUUUUCAAAGAGUCGAGUUGUUUGGGAUUGCAGCUCAAAAUGGGAGGUAAAUUUCUCCUAAGGCUAAAUACCGGCGAGAGACCGAUAGCGAACAAGUACCGUGAGGGAAAGAUGAAAAGAACUUUGAAAAGAGAGUUAAACAGUACGUGAAAUUGUUGAAAGGGAAACGAUUGAAGCCAGUCGUUCUGACGGAAAAUCAACUUUUCGGGUGCCUAUCGUGGGUGACGUUGAGCCUCACGGUCUUCGUUGCUUGUGUUUGUUGGUACCUUUGGAGUGCACUUUUUCGUAUGGUAGGUCAACAUCGAUUUUAAUCGUCAUAAAAUGAUCGGAGGAAUGUGGCUUCGAUUUCGAUUGGAGUGUUAUAGCCUUUGGUAGAUGUGACGAUUAGGAUCGAGGAUUGCAACGAAUACCCUUUGGGCUAUCCGUCUGGCCUCUGAAAGUCGCUUGGGUGCUGAAAGCUUUGCUUAUAGUAUUCAAGUUGGCGGUCAACAGGUUAGAACGUGAUUACAUUCGUUAAGGAUGUUGACAUAAUGGCUUUAAACGACCCGUCUUGAAACACGGACCAAGGAGUCUAACAUAUGUGCGAGUGUU
Molecule: ribosomal RNA, 1532 nt
Filed under: uncultured Glomus
Lineage: Eukaryota; Fungi; Glomeromycota; Glomeromycetes; Glomerales; Glomeraceae
Description: eukaryotic LSU rRNA
Rfam family: Eukaryotic large subunit ribosomal RNA (bases 687-1532)
Source: RNAcentral